GAUGAACGCUGGCGGCGUGCCUAAUACAUGCAAGUCGAGCGAACGGACGAGAAGCUUGCUUUUCUGAUGUUAGCGGCGGACGGGUGAGUAACACGUGGAUAACCUACCUAUAAGACUGGGAUAACUUCGGGAAACCGGAGCUAAUACCGGAUAAUAUUUUGAACCGCAUGGUUCAAAAGUGAAAGACGGUCUUGCUGUCACUUAUAGAUGGAUCCGCGCUGCAUUAGCUAGUUGGUAAGGUAACGGCUUACCAAGGCAACGAUGCAUAGCCGACCUGAGAGGGUGAUCGGCCACACUGGAACUGAGACACGGUCCAGACUCCUACGGGAGGCAGCAGUAGGGAAUCUUCCGCAAAGGGCGAAAGCCUGACGGAGCAACGCCGCGUGAGUGAUGAAGGUCUUCGGAUCGUAAAACUCUGUUAUUAGGGAAGAACAUAUGUGUAAGUAACUGUGCACAUCUUGACGGUACCUAAUCAGAAAGCCACGGCUAACUACAUG
RNAcentral lists this ribosomal RNA (497 nucleotides) under uncultured bacterium. RNAcentral describes it as "partial 16S ribosomal RNA". It matches the Rfam family "Bacterial small subunit ribosomal RNA", at positions 28 to 507 of the family's 1533-position model. The record is from RNAcentral.